Molecule: ribosomal RNA, 380 nt
Filed under: uncultured bacterium
Lineage: Bacteria
Description: bacterial SSU rRNA
Rfam family: Bacterial small subunit ribosomal RNA
Source: RNAcentral
CGGUAAUACGUAGGACGCGAGCGUUAUCCGGAGUUACUGGGCGUAAAGGGCGGGUAGGCGGCCAGUCAAGUUGGAUGUGAAAUCUCCUGGCUAAACUGGGAGGGUGCAUUCGAAACUGAUUGGCUGGAGGACAGCAGAGGGUCGCGGAAUUCCGGGUGGAGUGGUGAAAUGCGUAGAGAUCCGGAGGAACACCAGAGGCGAAAGCGGCGACCUGGGCUGUAACUGACGCUGAACCGCGAAAGCCAGGGGAGCGAACGGGAUUAGAAACCCCGGUAGUCCUGGCCGUAAACGAUGCCAACUGGGCGUUGGUGGUGAGAGCCAUCAGCGUCGGAGCUAACGCGGUAAGUUGGCCGCCUGGGGAGUACGACCGCAAGGUUAAA